RNAcentral lists this ribosomal RNA (2931 nucleotides) under Escherichia coli. RNAcentral describes it as "bacterial LSU rRNA". It matches the Rfam family "Bacterial large subunit ribosomal RNA". The record is from RNAcentral. Lineage: Bacteria; Pseudomonadati; Pseudomonadota; Gammaproteobacteria; Enterobacterales; Enterobacteriaceae.
GGGUUGUGAGGUUAAGCGACUAAGCGUACACGGUGGAUGCCCUGGCAGUCAGAGGCGAUGAAGGACGUGCUAAUCUGCGAUAAGCGUCGGUAAGGUGAUAUGAACCGUUAUAACCGGCGAUUUCCGAAUGGGGAAACCCAGUGUGUUUCGACACACUAUCAUUAACUGAAUCCAUAGGUUAAUGAGGCGAACCGGGGGAACUGAAACAUCUAAGUACCCCGAGGAAAAGAAAUCAACCGAGAUUCCCCCAGUAGCGGCGAGCGAACGGGGAGCAGCCCAGAGCCUGAAUCAGUGUGUGUGUUAGUGGAAGCGUCUGGAAAGGCGCGCGAUACAGGGUGACAGCCCCGUACACAAAAAUGCACAUGCUGUGAGCUCGAUGAGUAGGGCGGGACACGUGGUAUCCUGUCUGAAUAUGGGGGGACCAUCCUCCAAGGCUAAAUACUCCUGACUGACCGAUAGUGAACCAGUACCGUGAGGGAAAGGCGAAAAGAACCCCGGCGAGGGGAGUGAAAAAGAACCUGAAACCGUGUACGUACAAGCAGUGGGAGCACGCUUAGGCGUGUGACUGCGUACCUUUUGUAUAAUGGGUCAGCGACUUAUAUUCUGUAGCAAGGUUAACCGAAUAGGGGAGCCGAAGGGAAACCGAGUCUUAACUGGGCGUUAAGUUGCAGGGUAUAGACCCGAAACCCGGUGAUCUAGCCAUGGGCAGGUUGAAGGUUGGGUAACACUAACUGGAGGACCGAACCGACUAAUGUUGAAAAAUUAGCGGAUGACUUGUGGCUGGGGGUGAAAGGCCAAUCAAACCGGGAGAUAGCUGGUUCUCCCCGAAAGCUAUUUAGGUAGCGCCUCGUGAAUUCAUCUCCGGGGGUAGAGCACUGUUUCGGCAAGGGGGUCAUCCCGACUUACCAACCCGAUGCAAACUGCGAAUACCGGAGAAUGUUAUCACGGGAGACACACGGCGGGUGCUAACGUCCGUCGUGAAGAGGGAAACAACCCAGACCGCCAGCUAAGGUCCCAAAGUCAUGGUUAAGUGGGAAACGAUGUGGGAAGGCCCAGACAGCCAGGAUGUUGGCUUAGAAGCAGCCAUCAUUUAAAGAAAGCGUAAUAGCUCACUGGUCGAGUCGGCCUGCGCGGAAGAUGUAACGGGGCUAAACCAUGCACCGAAGCUGCGGCAGCGACGCUGAUGCGUUGUUGGGUAGGGGAGCGUUCUGUAAGCCUGUGAAGGUGUACUGUGAGGUAUGCUGGAGGUAUCAGAAGUGCGAAUGCUGACAUAAGUAACGAUAAAGCGGGUGAAAAGCCCGCUCGCCGGAAGACCAAGGGUUCCUGUCCAACGUUAAUCGGGGCAGGGUGAGUCGACCCCUAAGGCGAGGCCGAAAGGCGUAGUCGAUGGGAAACAGGUUAAUAUUCCUGUACUUGGUGUUACUGCGAAGGGGGGACGGAGAAGGCUAUGUUGGCCGGGCGACGGUUGUCCCGGUUUAAGCGUGUAGGCUGGUUUUCCAGGCAAAUCCGGAAAAUCAAGGCUGAGGCGUGAUGACGAGGCACUACGGUGCUGAAGCAACAAAUGCCCUGCUUCCAGGAAAAGCCUCUAAGCAUCAGGUAACAUCAAAUCGUACCCCAAACCGACACAGGUGGUCAGGUAGAGAAUACCAAGGCGCUUGAGAGAACUCGGGUGAAGGAACUAGGCAAAAUGGUGCCGUAACUUCGGGAGAAGGCACGCUGAUAUGUAGGUGAAGUCCCUUGCGGAUGGAGCUGAAAUCAGUCGAAGAUACCAGCUGGCUGCAACUGUUUAUUAAAAACACAGCACUGUGCAAACACGAAAGUGGACGUAUACGGUGUGACGCCUGCCCGGUGCCGGAAGGUUAAUUGAUGGGGUCAGCGCAAGCGAAGCUCUUGAUCGAAGCCCCGGUAAACGGCGGCCGUAACUAUAACGGUCCUAAGGUAGCGAAAUUCCUUGUCGGGUAAGUUCCGACCUGCACGAAUGGCGUAAUGAUGGCCAGGCUGUCUCCACCCGAGACUCAGUGAAAUUGAACUCGCUGUGAAGAUGCAGUGUACCCGCGGCAAGACGGAAAGACCCCGUGAACCUUUACUAUAGCUUGACACUGAACAUUGAGCCUUGAUGUGUAGGAUAGGUGGGAGGCUUUGAAGUGUGGACGCCAGUCUGCAUGGAGCCGACCUUGAAAUACCACCCUUUAAUGUUUGAUGUUCUAACGUUGACCCGUAAUCCGGGUUGCGGACAGUGUCUGGUGGGUAGUUUGACUGGGGCGGUCUCCUCCUAAAGAGUAACGGAGGAGCACGAAGGUUGGCUAAUCCUGGUCGGACAUCAGGAGGUUAGUGCAAUGGCAUAAGCCAGCUUGACUGCGAGCGUGACGGCGCGAGCAGGUGCGAAAGCAGGUCAUAGUGAUCCGGUGGUUCUGAAUGGAAGGGCCAUCGCUCAACGGAUAAAAGGUACUCCGGGGAUAACAGGCUGAUACCGCCCAAGAGUUCAUAUCGACGGCGGUGUUUGGCACCUCGAUGUCGGCUCAUCACAUCCUGGGGCUGAAGUAGGUCCCAAGGGUAUGGCUGUUCGCCAUUUAAAGUGGUACGCGAGCUGGGUUUAGAACGUCGUGAGACAGUUCGGUCCCUAUCUGCCGUGGGCGCUGGAGAACUGAGGGGGGCUGCUCCUAGUACGAGAGGACCGGAGUGGACGCAUCACUGGUGUUCGGGUUGUCAUGCCAAUGGCACUGCCCGGUAGCUAAAUGCGGAAGAGAUAAGUGCUGAAAGCAUCUAAGCACGAAACUUGCCCCGAGAUGAGUUCUCCCUGACUCCUUGAGAGUCCUGAAGGAACGUUGAAGACGACGACGUUGAUAGGCCGGGUGUGUAAGCGCAGCGAUGCGUUGAGCUAACCGGUACUAAUGAACCGUGAGGCUUAACCUUACAACGCCGAAGGUGUUU